CAGCCUCCCAAGUAAGAUGCCAGAGACUUCAAACACUGCUGUUGUUUCUCAAGGAAAAGAUCCAGUUAACAAGGAAUCAUUCUCUCUUCUUCAAUAGCUGCUUACGAAAUAAAAACAUCAGUAGGAGGGGAAGGAGGAAGGAAGGAGAAGAAAGAGGAAGAAUAGGAGGAGAAGAGGAAGAGAGGAAGAAGUCGUGAACAGCCCUCCUGCAUUUUGCAUCAGGUAGAAAAGUCAGUUGAAUGUUGGGAAGAACACAAAUAAAAAUGCAAGAGAACAGCUAUCUUCACAGAUCCCGGAACAAAGGACAAAGGAUAGAACUAAAAGCGCCCCCCACCCGCCG
This 340-nucleotide long non-coding RNA is filed under the name Homo sapiens (human). RNAcentral's name for it is "non-protein coding lnc-SPATA31A1-5:7". The record is from RNAcentral. Lineage: Eukaryota; Metazoa; Chordata; Mammalia; Primates; Hominidae.